This 465-nucleotide ribosomal RNA is filed under the name Vreelandella stevensii. RNAcentral's name for it is "partial 16S ribosomal RNA". It matches the Rfam family "Bacterial small subunit ribosomal RNA", at positions 338 to 795 of the family's 1533-position model. The record is from RNAcentral. Lineage: Bacteria; Pseudomonadati; Pseudomonadota; Gammaproteobacteria; Oceanospirillales; Halomonadaceae.
CCUACGGGAGGCAGCAGUGGGGAAUAUUGGACAAUGGGGGCAACCCUGAUCCAGCCAUGCCGCGUGUGUGAAGAAGGCCCUCGGGUUGUAAAGCGCUUUCAGUGAGGAAGAACGCCUGGUGGUUAAUACCCAUCAGGAAAGACAUCACUCACAGAAGAAGCACCGGCUAACUCCGUGCCAGCAGCCGCGGUAAUACGGAGGGUGCGAGCGUUAAUCGGAAUUACUGGGCGUAAAGCGCGCGUAGGUGGCUUGAUAAGCCGGUUGUGAAAGCCCCGGGCUCAACCUGGGAACGGCAUCCGGAACUGUCAAGCUAGAGUGCAGGAGAGGAAGGUAGAAUUCCCGGUGUAGCGGUGAAAUGCGUAGAGAUCGGGAGGAAUACCAGUGGCGAAGGCGGCCUUCUGGACUGACACUGACACUGAGGUGCGAAAGCGUGGGUAGCAAACAGGAUUAGAUACCCUGGUAGUC